Long non-coding RNA from Brachypodium distachyon (stiff brome), 1169 nucleotides. RefSeq lists it as uncharacterized. NCBI's taxonomy places the organism in Eukaryota, Viridiplantae, Streptophyta, Magnoliopsida, Poales, Poaceae. The record is from RefSeq and is a predicted model, not a curated record. The transcript is spliced from 3 exons.
UCCCCUUCCUCCUUAUCGUUCUAGUACCUCUACGCGCCGCUGCUUGCCGCUGCCGUCGCCCGCUCGCAUCUGCUUGACGCUGCAGCUUUGCUGCCUCUGCUCGAUCACAUCUGCUUCCUCCUCCACCGCUUGCUGCCCUGCAGCGCGUCCGCUCCUUCCCCACCGAAGCCUCCCCAAGAGCGCUCAGGUCUGGUCUGCCGACUUCUCUUCGCCAAUCCCAACGUCGCCGGCACCUCCAGCUUUGCUUUGUCCCAGCCGAGGCACAACCCUAAGCCCGCAUCAUCGUUGGCGGCGGUGCAGGAAGGCGGUGAGAAGAAGAGGAAGGAGAGAACGACGCGGCCCAAGCUCACGCCGGACCUGUCCUGUCUGACGCCGGCCUGGGAUCCGUCCUCCGCUACUUCCCCAACGCCUUCAAACCCAUGCCGGGCCUGGUCAUGAGGUGCGCUGCAGUUUGGGCCCCUGAUUUGGUGCUACUGCUUACUAUGGCCGCCGCGUGAUUCGUGCACGCGCUGCUGCUCUACCUCAGCAAAGACCUCACCGGGGCGUCACCGGUGGAUACUGCGAGGGAGGUUGGGCCUCUCGGGAGAAGAAGAGAUCAGGGAAACACACAAAGAUGGGGUGCACAGUAUGUUUUAGGGUUGAUUGAAUGCAUGACCAUUCGACCUGGUCACCUAGAUUGGUUGCAGCAGAAGUAGGAUAUAUUCAUUUCGCCCUCUGCCCCCAUCUGUGGAUGUCAAGUUCAAUAUCUCUGAUUCCUAGAUUUAUUGCCCAUCAUUCCAGCAAUCAAUUACCAGCUUUCCCAAUGUGGAUGAAGCCAACAGCUACCAGCUAUGUAUCUCUCGCCUGGUGAUUUAAGCAUUGCUCUCUUUAUUAUUAAGUAUAGAUAUUUAAGUUGAAAUAUUGUUGAAAUAAAUGUUACGGCAGAUGCUGCUACGAAGAAUUCAUCGUUUCCCUGCCAAUUUUCUUAUCUUCCAGCACAUGUGUUGCAGAGAAGUGGUAGGGUGAGAAAUUGUUUGUAUCAGGGGAGGGUGUACAAUAAGCAAGAGUGGUGAGAAGAGAACAAUUUUUUUACCGGUUUGCUUGUUGUGGUUUUGGGGACCAAGUCUUUUCUUGCUUUUACUAUUAUUAUUUAUAAUAAAUCUCAUUUCAAUUAAAUGUCAAAAUAUGUA